AGUGAACGCUGGCGGUAGGCCUAACACAUGCAAGUCGAACGGCAGCACAGUAAGAGCUUGCUCUUACGGGUGGCGAGUGGCGGACGGGUGAGGAAUACAUCGGAAUCUACUUUUUCGUGGGGGAUAACGUAGGGAAACUUACGCUAAUACCGCAUACGACCUACGGGUGAAAGCAGGGGAUCUUCGGACCUUGCGCGAUUGAAUGAGCCGAUGUCGGAUUAGCUAGUUGGCGGGGUAAAGGCCCACCAAGGCGACGAUCCGUAGCUGGUCUGAGAGGAUGAUCAGCCACACUGGAACUGAGACACGGUCCAGACUCCUACGGGAGGGAGCAGUGGGGAAUAUUGGACAAUGGGCGCAAGCCUGAUCCAGCCAUACCGCGUGUGUGAAGAAGGCCUUCGGGUUGUAAAGCCCUUUUGUUGGGAAAGAAAAGCAGCAGGUUAAUACCCCGCUGUUCUGACGGUACCCAAAGAAUAAGCACCGGCUAACUUCGUG
Molecule: ribosomal RNA, 492 nt
Filed under: uncultured bacterium
Lineage: Bacteria
Description: partial 16S ribosomal RNA
Rfam family: Bacterial small subunit ribosomal RNA
Source: RNAcentral